Molecule: non-coding RNA, 100 nt
Filed under: Exiguobacterium sp.
Lineage: Bacteria; Bacillati; Bacillota; Bacilli; Caryophanales
Also listed under: 2 other names
Description: SAM-I sequence
Rfam family: SAM riboswitch aptamer (S box leader)
About the family: The SAM riboswitch is found upstream of a number of genes which code for proteins involved in methionine or cysteine biosynthesis in Gram-positive bacteria. The SAM riboswitch acts at the level of transcription termination control. The predicted structure consists of a complex stem-loop region followed by a single stem loop terminator region.
Source: RNAcentral
UCGAUAUCAAGAGUGAACGAGAGAUCUGGCUCCGCGACUUCACAGCAACCUGCCUUAGGCAAGGUGCUACGACCAGCAAGGGAAACCUUGGACGAUAUGA